Molecule: ribosomal RNA, 273 nt
Filed under: uncultured bacterium
Lineage: Bacteria
Description: partial 16S ribosomal RNA
Rfam family: Bacterial small subunit ribosomal RNA
Source: RNAcentral
UACGAGAGGCCCAAACGUUAUUCGGAAUCACUGGGCUUAAAGAGUUCGUAGGCGGCGCGGAAAGUGGGGUGUGAAAGCCCUCGGCUCAACCGAGGAAUUGCGCUCCAAACUGCCGUGCUUGAGGAGGCUAGAGGUAAGCGGAACUGAUGGUGGAGCGGUGAAAUGCGUUGAUAUCAUCAGGAACACCGGAGGCGAAGGCGGCUUACUGGGGCCUUUCUGACGCUGAGGAACGAAAGCUAGGGGAGCAAACGGGAUUAGAAACCCCCGUAGUCC